CGGGUGAGUAAUACAUCGGAACGUGUCCAGUAGCGGGGGAUAACCUCUCGAAAGAGAGGCUAAUACCGCAUACGACCUACGGGUGAAAGAGGGGGAUCGCAAGACCUCUCACUAUUGGAGCGGCCGAUGUCGGAUUAGCUAGUUGGCGGGGUAACGGCCCACCAAGGCUACGAUCCGUAGCUGGUCUGAGAGGACGGCCAGCCACACUGGAACUGAGACACGGUCCAG
RNAcentral lists this ribosomal RNA (228 nucleotides) under uncultured bacterium. RNAcentral's name for it is "partial 16S ribosomal RNA". It matches the Rfam family "Bacterial small subunit ribosomal RNA", at positions 103 to 334 of the family's 1533-position model. The record is from RNAcentral.